This 3906-nucleotide long non-coding RNA is filed under the name Sus scrofa (pig). Its description in RNAcentral is "lncRNA (ENSSSCG00000056318.1)". Lineage: Eukaryota; Metazoa; Chordata; Mammalia; Artiodactyla; Suidae. The record is from RNAcentral.
GUUCUAUUAUCCUGUUCUCUUUAUUUGUGUAUAUAUUGGAAUUUUAUGUAAGAAGGAAAUUAUAAUUAUGGUCCAGGUAUUACAUUUACUAAGUAGAUUAAAUGCAAAGAGAUACAUCCAAAAUGCCAUGGAGAAAUUAAAAUUUUUAAAUUCUUUAAAAGCCCAAAUCAUAAAAGGAAAAAUUGGUGAGUGAGACUUCAUCAAAAAUAAAAACUUCUUCAAAAGACAGGGUUAAUAAAAUGGAAACACAAUUCACAGGUGGGAGAAAACCAAACAUACAUUUGAUAAAGAAUUUGUAUCCAAGAUAUAUAUAAAGGAGUUCCCAUCGUGGUUCGGCAGUAACAAACCCAGCUAGUAAGGUUUGAUCCCUGCCCUUGCUUAGUGGGUUAAGGAUCGAGAGUUGCCAUGAGCUGUGGUGUAGGUCACAGACUUGGCUCGAAUCUGGCAUUGCUGUGGCUGUUGCAUAGGCCGGCAGCUGCAGCUCUGAUUCGAUCCCUAGCCUGGGAACUUCCAUAUGCCAUGGGUUCAGCCCUAAAAAGACAAAAAAAUUCAUAUAUAUAUAUAUGUAUAUGUAUGUAUAUAUAUGUAUGUACACACACACACAUAUAUAUGUACACACAUACAUAUAUAUAUAUACACACACAUAUAAAGAAGUUUUAAAAUUCAACAAGAAAACAACCACAUUUAUAAGAGCAAAAUACUUAAAAUGGACACUUCACCAGAGAAGAUAUGUGGAUGACAAAAUAAGCAUAUGAAAAGAUGUCCAACAUAAUCAUUAGGAAAAUAUAAGUUAUAAACACAAUGCCUAAAAUUAAAAUUUUCAAAAGCUGGCAACACUGAGUGCUAGUAAAUUUUGAAACAACUAGAAUUCUUGUACAUUGCUGGUGGAAAUGCAGAAGAGAAUGUCACUUUGGAAGAAAGCGUGGCAAUUUCUUACAGAUUUAAACAUAUCUUUAUCUUAUGAACCAGCAAUACCACUCCCAUAUGUUUCCUCAAAAGGAAUGAAAAUUUGUGUCCACACAAAGAUCUCUAUGUAGAUAUUUACAGCAACUUUAUUAAUAAUUUUCCCAAACUGGAAACAAACCAAGUGUCUAUCAACUCGCUCAUGGAUGGAAAACAUGUGGCACAUCCAUAAAAUGGGAUAUUACUUCACCAAAAACAGAUGUGACCAGCUGAUACGUGAAAUGAUAUUGAUGAAUCUCAAAUGCAUUAUGCUAAGUAGAACAUGCCAAACUAUAUGAUUCUACUUAUAUGACAGUCAGAAAAAGAUAAAACUAGCAACAAAAAGCCGAGGAGUGGUUACAGGUGAAUUGACUCCAAAAGUACUUCAAGGGAAUUGGGGGGUGGAGGGACAGUGACAGAAAUGUUCUAAAUCUUGAUGUGAUGGUGAUUAUGUAAUGGCACACAGUCAUUAAAAUUCCUGGAACUGUUUACUAAAAGAUAGAAUUUACGUAUUAAUAAACCCGAUUUAGAAAAAUAUAAACUUCCCACAGCAGGAAACUCCAGGCCCAGAUUAUUUCAGUGGUAUUGAACUUCUAUUUCUAUUGAACAUUGUGUAGCACCAAUGUUAUAAAACUCUUUUGGAAAAUGAGAAACACCACUUCCUAAAUCAUUUUAUGAAGCAAGUAUAGCUCUUUUUCAGAGCAUGAAAAAGAAAUGACCAAAACAGUUACUUAAGAACAUCCUUUGUUAAUAUAAACAUGAAAAUCCCUAACAAAAUACUAGCAAAUCAAAUCCAGCAAUAUAUAAAAAGUUCUCAGGAAUGUACAAAUCGAACCUAGGACUGGUAAUUGAAUCUAGUAAGGUCACAGAAUUUAAGGUCAAUAUUAUCAGAAAUAUUUUCUAUGUACAAACAUCAAAGAAUUGUAAAAUAUAUGGUAUUUUAUAAAAAUAAGAUACUUAGGAAUACGUUAAAAUAUGCUAUAAGAUCGCUCCAUAAAAACUACAAAAUAUUGCUUAGAGAACAUUUUAAAGCCCUAGGAUAAAGAGAAAUAUAAUAUUCAUUGAUUGGAAGACUUACUAUUUUUAGGAUGUUAUUUCUUUCCAAGAUGGUAUGUACAUUAAAUGCAACCCCAAUAGAAAUUCUAGCAGGCUAUUUUUCUAAAAAUCUACAAGCUGAUCCUAAAAUUUUUAUAGAAAAGCAAACAAUUUCAAAUAGUCACAAUAAUUUUGGAAAAGAAUCACAGCAGUACUUGAUUUCAAGACUUACUAUAGAGCUACAUUAAUCAAGACAGUGUGGUAUUGGUAAAAGGAUAGGUAAGCACAUCAGUGGAAGAGAACAAAGAGGUCAAAAUUAGACCCACACAUUUAUGGUUGAUUAACUUGAUAAAAGUGCCAAAACACUUAUCAAAAAUCAAUCAAUUUAGAUGAAUCAUAAAUCUAAACGUAAAAGCUAAACUGUAAAGCUUCUAGAAGUAUAUAUAGGAGAAAGCUUUGAGUUGUGAUUUAGGCAAAGGUGCAUGGAUAGGAUUAAAAAGUGAACAAUUUUAAACUGGUAAAUUUCAUCACAAAGAUUUCUGUCAUUAUCAUUAAGAAAAAUCAUUAAGGCAAACCACAUAUAACUACAUUUCUGACAAAGGAUUUGUUUUCAGAAUAUAUAACAAUACUUUUACAGCUCAAUCAGAAAACCCCAAAUAGCCCAAUUUUUAGAAGGGGAAUUUUAAGAAACAGAAAACAGGAGGUAGUAUUUUUACCGGAAACCUAGAACAUCCCGACUGCCACUUGGGAGCACAUUAUUGUUGAAGGAUUAGGAUGACAUCAUCUUUGCUACUGAGAUUUCUUAGGAAUUUUCCCAGAGCCAGGCUCACAGAAUGUACUUUUGAAGGGAGAGGGUAGAAAUUUGCUAUAUAUUCUAUUUUGUUUAAAAUAAUUGUAUAACAUUUUAUGCACCUAGAGAACUAGAGUUCCCAGAAUACUAGGAACUGACGAUCGAUUGGAGGGAGGUAUUGUUAGGUUUGUUUUUAGGAGAGGGGGUUGUUGAUUUUCUUUUUUCGAUGAAAGCUCACUGGCUCUAUUUGGAGCUCACGACUGAUAAUGAGCACCAAGAAAGACAAUAAUUUGCCCAUUGUGUCCAAAAAUAUCCAAAUACCCAUCUGAAUUGUCCUCGGUUUUCCCCUUUUCUGAAACUACUCCCUUUAUCAUACAAAAUAUGUGUCUGGAAAUUUAGAUAAUGUUUUAAGAAUGGCGUUUGUUCCAGAUAAUUAGAUAACUUUAUCAAUGGUUUAAAAAAGUGGUCCAUUACAAAAUUAUGUGACCCUGAGAUGAGGUGUUAUCUAAUUUAAUAGUCCAAGAUAGAAACUUUUCUUAUCUACUCUGUAUCAAAAAGACAUUUGAAAGUAUAGUUUUUCUCAUGCUAAACCUCAGAUUCAUAACAUAUUUCAACCCAAAUCCAUUUUGUAUUAUGCAUUGGAUGACAAAAGAAGCUCCACCAUUCUCAAAAGGGAAUCAAGAAUUUAGAUCCAGCUUCUAGGUGUGUUGAUGGUACACCAUGUUCGGCAGAAGCUAAAACAGUUGUAGUGAGUUAGGGGUCUUUCUCCUCAGUGGUUGCCCUGACAUCUUGACAUUCCUCGUAUUUAUUUCCAAUUGGCCACUAUAACAAGUUACCAACAGGUGGGUAACUUAAAACAACAGAAAUUUUAUUUUCUCAUAGUUCUGGAAGUCAGACAUCUGAAAUCAAUAUCCCUGGAGUUCCUGUCGUGGCUCAGUGGUUAAUGAAUCUGACUAAUGAGGUUGAGGGUUCGAUCCCUGGCCUUGCUCAGUGGGUUAAGGAUCCGGUGUUGCCGGGAGCUGUGGUGUAGGUUGUAGAUGCAGCUCAGAUCCUGUUUUGCUGUGGCUGUGGCGUAGGCCGGCGGCUACAGCUCCGAUUCGACCCUUAGCCUGGGAACCUCCAUAUGCCUCAGGUGCAGC